GUCGAACGCACUCUCGUUUAGAUUGAAGGAGCUUGCUCCUGAUUGAUAAACAUUUGAGUGAGUGGCGGACGGGUGAGUAACACGUGGGUAACCUGCCCUAAAGUGGGGGAUAACAUUUGGAAACAGAUGCUAAUACCGCAUAAAACCUAACACCGCAUGGUGUAGGGUUGAAAGAUGGUUUCGGCUAUCACUUUAGGAUGGACCCGCGGUGCAUUAGUUAGUUGGUGAGGUAAAGGCUCACCAAGACCGUGAUGCAUAGCCGACCUGAGAGGGUAAUCGGCCACACUGGGACUGAGACACGGCCCAGACUCCUACGGGAGGCAGCAGUAGGGAAUCUUCCACAAUGGACGAAAGUCUGAUGGAGCAACGCCGCGUGAGUGAAGAAGGUUUUCGGAUCGUAAAACUCUGUUGUUGGAGAAGAAUGUAUCUGAUAGUAACUGAUCAGGUAGUGACGGUAUCCAACCAGAAAGCCACGGCUAACUACGUGCCAGCAGCCGCGGUAAUACGUAGGUGGCAAGCGUUGUCCGGAUUUAUUGGGCGUAAAGCGAGCGCAGGCGGUUUCUUAAGUCUGAUGUGAAAGCCUUCGGCUCAACCGAAGAAGUGCAUCGGAAACUGGGAAACUUGAGUGCAGAAGAGGACAGUGGAACUCCAUGUGUAGCGGU
Molecule: ribosomal RNA, 662 nt
Filed under: Latilactobacillus sakei subsp. sakei
Lineage: Bacteria; Bacillati; Bacillota; Bacilli; Lactobacillales; Lactobacillaceae
Description: bacterial SSU rRNA
Rfam family: Bacterial small subunit ribosomal RNA
Source: RNAcentral